GGAUAUUGGGCGUAAAGGGCUCGCAGGCGGUUUCUUAAGUCUGAUGUGAAAGCCCCCGGCUCAACCGGGGAGGGUCAUUGGAAACUGGGAAACUUGAGUGCAGAAGAGGAGAGUGGAAUUCCACGUGUAGCGGUGAAAUGCGUAGAGAUGUGGAGGAACACCAGUGGCGAAGGCGACUCUCUGGUCUGUAACUGACGCUGAGGAGCGAAAGCGUGGGGAGCGAACAGGAUUAGAUACCCUGGUAGUCCACGCCGUAAACGAUGAGUGCUAAGUGUUAGGGGGUUUCCGCCCCUUAGUGCUGCAGCUAACGCAUUAAGCACUCCGCCUGGGGAGUACGGUCGCAAGACUGAAACUCAAAGGAAUUGACGGGGGCCCGCACAAGCGGUGGAGCAUGUGGUUUAAUUCGAAGCAACGCGAAGAACCUUACCAGGUCUUGACAUCCUCUGACAACCCUAGAGAUAGGGCUUUCCCUUCGGGGACAGAGUGACAGGUGGUGCAUGGUUGUCGUCAGCUCGUGUCGUGAGAUGUUGGGUUAAGUCCCGCAACGAGCGCAACCCUUGAUCUUAGUUGCCAGCAUUUAGUUGGGCACUCUAAGGUGACUG
This 602-nucleotide ribosomal RNA is filed under the name Bacillus pumilus. RNAcentral describes it as "bacterial SSU rRNA". It matches the Rfam family "Bacterial small subunit ribosomal RNA", at positions 547 to 1151 of the family's 1533-position model. The record is from RNAcentral. Lineage: Bacteria; Bacillati; Bacillota; Bacilli; Caryophanales; Bacillaceae.